AUGCUCACUUUGGCAGCACACAGACUACAAUUGGAAUGAUACAGAGAAAGUUAGGAUGAUCCCUCCGCAAGGAUGACACACACAUUCAUGAAGUGUUCUAUGUUUUU
Pongo abelii (Sumatran orangutan) is the source of this 107-nucleotide small nuclear RNA. Lineage: Eukaryota; Metazoa; Chordata; Mammalia; Primates; Hominidae. The record is from Ensembl.